AGUGAACGCUGGCGGUAGGCCUAACACAUGCAAGUCGAACGGCAGCACAGUAAGAGCUUGCUCUUACGGGUGGCGAGUGGCGGACGGGUGAGGAAUACAUCGGAAUCUACUUUUUCGUGGGGGAUAACGUAGGGAAACUUACGCUAAUACCGCAUACGACCUACGGGUGAAAGCAGGGGAUCUUCGGACCUUGCGCGAUUGAAUGAGCCGAUGUCGGAUUAGCUAGUUGGCGGGGUAAAGGCCCACCAAGGCGACGAUCCGUAGCUGGUCUGAGAGGAUGAUCAGCCACACUGGAACUGAGACACGGUCCAGACUCCUACGGGAGGCAGCAGUGGGGAAUAUUGGACAGUGGGCGCAAGCCUGAUCCAGCCAUACCGCGUGGGUGAAGAAGGCCUUCGGGUUGUAAAGCCCUUUUGUUGGGAAAGAAAAGCAGCAGGUUAAUACCCCGCUGUUCUGACGGUACCCAAAGAAUAGCACCGGCUAACUUCAUG
Molecule: ribosomal RNA, 491 nt
Filed under: uncultured bacterium
Lineage: Bacteria
Description: partial 16S ribosomal RNA
Rfam family: Bacterial small subunit ribosomal RNA
Source: RNAcentral